This 311-nucleotide long non-coding RNA is filed under the name Nicotiana benthamiana. RNAcentral's name for it is "long non-coding RNA (NBEN_LNC030084)". Lineage: Eukaryota; Viridiplantae; Streptophyta; Magnoliopsida; Solanales; Solanaceae. The record is from RNAcentral.
UUAUUUUAAAAUUAGUUUUUCUCUGAUUAAUCUAUGCAUUGUUUUCUUUAUGAUCUAGUUUUAUUUUUAUUAGCUUCGAGCUAGUUCUUUUUUUAGGUUUCUAAUUACCAAUUAUAAUCUUGUUUUGAUAUUUUGUUGGACUGUCAAGUUGUAUAAUUCUAUACAUGUUGUUGCUUUCUUGUUUCGUUCAUUUUACAGUAUAGGCUUCGUGUGUCCUUUACAUUUUUCGUAGUUGGUAUAGGUGAUCUAUUUAGCCAUGGUUUAGUGAUAAAUUUGGUCUUGGCACACAGUAGAAUUAAUUUCCAAGUGUU